RNAcentral lists this transfer RNA (73 nucleotides) under Felis catus (domestic cat). It matches the Rfam family "tRNA". From Rfam's summary of the family: Transfer RNA (tRNA) molecules are approximately 80 nucleotides in length. Their secondary structure includes four short double-helical elements and three loops (D, anti-codon, and T loops). The record is from Rfam by way of RNAcentral. Lineage: Eukaryota; Metazoa; Chordata; Mammalia; Carnivora; Felidae.
UCCUGGCUGGCUCAGUUGGUAGAGCGUGCAACUCUUGAUCGCAAGGUUGUGAGUUUGAACCCCAUGUUGAGUG